AUGAUUACUAGUGCACCUCACAUAUUAUUGGCUCGGCCCUUUCAAGCCUACAAUGGAUCAUGCCUUUCACUUGUUGAAUCGAUGUCUAGCCUUUUGCCCUUGGAAUCAGGCUGUGAGUUUGGCUGGAGGUGUAUUAGUGCGGUCAUUGAUGUUUUCACCAUUGGUGGGACAAUUUCUUUAUCACAGCAUGAAUCACUGUACCAUGUGAUUUUGGAGAAUAUAAUAAUUGUUUCUCUCUUUCACCAUUGGUGGGACAAUUUCUUUAUCACAGCAUGA
Molecule: non-coding RNA, 276 nt
Organism: Vicia faba (fava bean)
Lineage: Eukaryota; Viridiplantae; Streptophyta; Magnoliopsida; Fabales; Fabaceae
Source: the annotation of a GenBank genome assembly